UCCUUUCCAAUUCCCUUCCAAAUUGCGGGGCCAAGGUUGGUAUCAAUGAUGAGUCGAUAUUUUAUUGAUUUCACUUAGUUUCUUGUGCUAGAAUUAAUCAGGGAAUUGUGCUUAAAUGUCCGGUAUUUUCCCGUUUUUGCUAAUUGUGCUUAUUUUGACCGGAAAUUCUAAUUUUAAUUAAUUUGAAUAUUCUGAGCUAAUUAUUUGCAUUAUUAUUUUCAGGGAAAAUUUUGGAAAUACAACUUGGGACAUCUGGAGGUAAAAAUAAACUUAAGUNAGAGAGAAGGUGUGGAUUUUGUAAUUGAGGGGUGUGGAUGGCAAUUAAAAUUUGAAGAAAUUGGAGAAUCACGGCCUUGCCCAUCUUUCUAUUUUUAUUGAAGCACACGACUCUAAGCUCUUAAGAAAUGGUGCAGCGUGAAGAGCUUCAUUCCAAAUAAAAUAAGCAACAGCAGCAUCUAGCAAAGGGCAGGCUUUGCAGCCUUCACACGGCCUNCACAUCCAACACAUGGUGCAAUGGCAGCAAUUAUGGGUUAUAUCCAGCAGCUGGCAGCAAGGAGUU
RNAcentral lists this long non-coding RNA (559 nucleotides) under Vigna radiata. RNAcentral describes it as "long non-coding RNA (VRAD_LNC012065)". Lineage: Eukaryota; Viridiplantae; Streptophyta; Magnoliopsida; Fabales; Fabaceae. The record is from RNAcentral.